GUAUACGGCCAUGCCACCCUGACCAAGCCCGAUGUCUGACCUCAGAAGCUAAGCAGGGUCGGGCUGGUUAGUACUUGGAUGGGAGACCACCUAGGAAGACCAGGUGCUGAAGGCA
This 115-nucleotide ribosomal RNA is filed under the name Pteropus alecto (black flying fox). The record is from RNAcentral. Lineage: Eukaryota; Metazoa; Chordata; Mammalia; Chiroptera; Pteropodidae. RNAcentral also lists the same sequence under 1 other name.